This 358-nucleotide unclassified non-coding RNA is filed under the name soil metagenome. Its description in RNAcentral is "partial contains 5.8S ribosomal RNA, internal transcribed spacer 2, and large subunit ribosomal RNA". The stretch from base 1 to 120 matches the Rfam family "5.8S ribosomal RNA", at positions 35 to 154 of the family's 154-position model. The record is from RNAcentral.
GAUGAAGAACGUAGCGAAAUGCGAUAAGUAAUGUGAAUUGCAGAAUUCAGUGAAUCAUCGAAUCUUUGAACGCACAUUGCGCCCGUCAGUAUUCUGGCGGGCAUGCCUGUUCGAGCGUCAUUACGCCCCUCAAGUCCCCUGUGGACUUUGUGUUGGGGAUCGGCGAGGCUGGUUUUCCAGCACAGCCGUCCCUUAAAUUAAUUGGCGGUCUCGCCGUGGCCCUCCUCUGCGCAGUAGUAAAACACUCGCAACAGGAGCCCGGCGCGGUCCACUGCCGUAAAACCCCCCAACUUUUUAUAGUUGACCUCGAAUCAGGUAGGACUACCCGCUGAACUUAAGCAUAUCAAUAAGCGGAGGA